ACAUUUUUAGUAUAUUUAGUACGUAAAGCUUCCAACUUUCAAGUUUCAAGAAAAAAUGUA
Molecule: transfer RNA, 60 nt
Filed under: Tetrodontophora bielanensis (giant springtail)
Lineage: Eukaryota; Metazoa; Arthropoda; Collembola; Poduromorpha; Onychiuridae
Description: tRNA-Gly
Source: RNAcentral